UACGUAGGGUCCGAGCGUUGUCCGGAAUUAUUGGGCGUAAAGGGCUCGUAGGCGGUUCGUCACGUCGGGAGUGAAAACUCGGGGCUUAACCCCGAGCCUGCUUCCGAUACGGGCAGACUAGAGGUAGGCAGGGGAGAGCGGAACUCCUGGUGUAGCGGUGGAAUGCGCAGAUAUCAGGAAGAACACCGGUGGCGAAGGCGGCUCUCUGGGCCUUACCUGACGCUGAGUGCGCGAAAGCCAGGGGAGCAAACGGG
This 254-nucleotide ribosomal RNA is filed under the name uncultured bacterium. RNAcentral describes it as "partial 16S ribosomal RNA". It matches the Rfam family "Bacterial small subunit ribosomal RNA", at positions 524 to 776 of the family's 1533-position model. The record is from RNAcentral.